AAUGGAGGAAACUCUGAUGCAGCGAUGCCGCGUGAGUGAAGAAGGCCUUUGGGUUGUAAAGCUCUUUCGCCGGGGAAGAAAAUGACUGUACCCGAAUAAGAAGGUCCGGCUAACUUCGUGCCAGCAGCCGCGGUAAUACGAAGGGACCUAGCGUAGUUCGGAAUUACUGGGCUUAAAGAGUUCGUAGGUGGUUAAAAAAGUUAGUGGUGAAAUCCCAGAGCUUAACUCUGGAACUGCCAUUAAAACUUUUUAGCUAGAGUAUGAUAGAGGAAAGCAGAAUUUCUAGUGUAGAGGUGAAAUUCGUAGAUAUUAGAAAGAAUACCAAUUGCGAAGGCAGCUUUCUGGAUCAUUACUGACACUGAGGAACGAAAGCAUGGGUAGCGAAGAGGAUU
Molecule: ribosomal RNA, 392 nt
Filed under: uncultured Gammaproteobacteria bacterium
Lineage: Bacteria; Pseudomonadati; Pseudomonadota; Gammaproteobacteria
Description: bacterial SSU rRNA
Rfam family: Bacterial small subunit ribosomal RNA
Source: RNAcentral